UGGGAAUGGGAAUGGGGGGUAUGGGAAUGGAGGGUAUGGGAAAUGGUAAGCCAAGGGGUGUGGAGGUAUUAAUUUACCCUUCAAGAGGGAAUGAGGUUCCCAUUCCAAGCAAAAAUUUUACUAAUCCAAACACAUAGUUGGUUCCGAUUCCCAUUAACCGGGCUCAUUAACCAUCAACCAAACGCCCCCUAAGUAAAAUUUACUUGUGAUCAUAAACACUCUCUAGUUUCUCACCAUUUUUCUUACAAUAUUGUUAUUGUUACAGGAUGAUGCUCAUAUUUUUUGCAGGGAAUCCCAGGUGAAUUUUAUCCAGUAAUCUGUACCUCACUCUUUAUUAGCUCUUCUAUAAAUCCUUAUUUGGCUGUCAAAUGGUUUAUUUUAAUUUCCAGAUAAAAGAUGAAGUCAGGGGCGUUCUUGAAUUCAUUAAAUACACCUAUGAUGCAUUUGGCUUCGGUUUUGAAGCUGAAGCUUUCGAUGGUGAGGAGCUGUUUCUUUUUUCGUACUUUUAGUUGCUGUGUGAAUUAUUAAUAUGCUAAGUGUUAGUUGUUAGAAUAUGAUCCUGGUAAGCCCUCCUUCUAACACCUUGAGGUUUUAGGAAAAUUGAUCACUUAACACUCUCGACCCAUAAAUGGGCUUUCGAGUGAGGGGGAAUGUUAGAAUAUGAUCCUGGUAAGCCCUCCUCCUAACACCUUGAGGGUUUAGGAGAAUUGGUCUCUUAACAUUAGUUAGCAUAGAAUAUAUGCAUGCGAAUGUGAUAUACCCAUUUUCUUUCAAGAAUUCAGCCUUGGGUAGAAGAGAAAGGUUUACAAAUGUCACCGGACUCGGUAGCUUUUAUAAAUGUCACUCGAUCAGUAGCUUUUAUAUCUUUUUUUUUUUACUCAUCACGCAGGAAAAUUUCCGUCUACCCUCACACAACUUAAAAGCGACCAUCAUAAAUGAAACGGUGACUUUUAUAUUUAAAAGCAGCCACCCGUAAAAACUAUCUAACAAAAGCGACCGGCGGUAAAAGCUACUAGUUUCCAUCGCUUUUAUGCUUCAGUAUGAAUUGAUUUUAAAAGCAACCGCCGACAGUUGGUGACUUUUAAUUGGUAAUUUUUAGUCAGUUCUCUUAUAGUGUUCAAAAAUUGAGAAAUGUAUAUUAAAAAUCAAAUCGGUUAUAUUCAAAAACAGAGGUAAUAAAUGUAAUUAUGAUGAUUAAGUAAAAGACAAAAAAAGCUAAAUACAUUUUCUCAUUCCACAUAACAUGAAGAGCAUUGAUGAUGAAAACUACAGACUACAGUACACACGAAGGGUGGUAAUAUGGAGAUCAUUUUAACAGUUGAACGCUGAAACCACACAAGUGGUCAACCACCUUAAUUAUUCAGUGAAAACAGAAUUCGAAAGACUCAACUGUGAUGAAACACACAGGUGGUUACAUAUAUAUUACAAGUCUAGUUCGUUUUCCUGCAGUUUUUUCUGAUCUGACCACUGGAGCCGGUGAGCGGGCUAAGGUUUCCCAUCUUGAUCAUCGCGUUCGCGAAGUCGGACAAGAAUGUGGCUUGGUCUGUACUGUAAGACCUGACUUGAGCAUCCGUAGAGCCGUUAUUGAAGAGCAC
Molecule: long non-coding RNA, 1595 nt
Filed under: Daucus carota (carrot)
Lineage: Eukaryota; Viridiplantae; Streptophyta; Magnoliopsida; Apiales; Apiaceae
Description: long non-coding RNA (DCAR_LNC004787)
Source: RNAcentral